RNAcentral lists this ribosomal RNA (261 nucleotides) under uncultured archaeon. RNAcentral describes it as "partial 16S ribosomal RNA". It matches the Rfam family "Archaeal small subunit ribosomal RNA", at positions 748 to 1009 of the family's 1478-position model. The record is from RNAcentral.
UAGCCGUAAACGAUACUCGCUAGGUGUCGGCCACGGUGCGACCGUUGUCGGUGCCGUAGGGAAGCCGUGAAGCGAGCCACCUGGGAAGUACGGCCGCAAGGCUGAAACUUAAAGGAAUUGGCGGGGGAGCCCCACAACGGGUGGAGCUUGCGGUUUAAUUGGAUUCAACGCCGGAAAUCUUACCGGGACCGACAGCAACAUGAAGGCCAGGCUGAAGACUUUGCCGGAUUAGCUGAGAGGUGGUGCAUGGCGUAGUCGUGU